RNAcentral lists this ribosomal RNA (482 nucleotides) under uncultured bacterium. RNAcentral describes it as "bacterial SSU rRNA". It matches the Rfam family "Bacterial small subunit ribosomal RNA", at positions 28 to 507 of the family's 1533-position model. The record is from RNAcentral.
GACGAACGCUGGCGGCGUGCCUAACACAUGCAAGUCGAGCGGAGUUGACAAGAGGAAGUUUUCGGAUGGAAUCUUGUCAAUUUAGCGGCGGACGGGUGAGUAACGCGUGAGCGACCAACCUUGCACAGGGGGAUAACGGACCGAAAGGUUCACUAAUACCGCAUGAGACCACGGUGUUGCAUGACACAGGGGUCAAAGGAGGAAUCCGGUGCAAGACGGGCUCGCGUCCGAUUAGGUAGUUGGAGGGGUAACGGCCCACCAAGCCUAUGAUCGGUAGCCGACCUGAGAGGGUGAUCGGCCACAUUGGAACUGAGAUACGGUCCAAACUCCUACGGGAGGCAGCAGUGGGGAAUAUUGGGCAAUGGGGGAAACCCUGACCCAGCAACGCCGCGUGAAGGAAGAAGGUUUUCGGAUUGUAAACUUCUGUCCUUGGUGAAGAGAAGAAGACGGUAGCCAAGGAGGAAGCCCCGGCUAACUACGUG